This 353-nucleotide RNase P RNA is filed under the name Candidatus Berkiella aquae. Its description in RNAcentral is "Legionella-like amoebal pathogen HT99 Bacterial RNase P class A". It matches the Rfam family "Bacterial RNase P class A". From Rfam's summary of the family: Ribonuclease P (RNase P) is a ubiquitous endoribonuclease, found in archaea, bacteria and eukarya as well as chloroplasts and mitochondria. Its best characterised activity is the generation of mature 5'-ends of tRNAs by cleaving the 5'-leader elements of precursor-tRNAs. Lineage: Bacteria; Pseudomonadati; Pseudomonadota; Gammaproteobacteria; Candidatus Berkiellales; Candidatus Berkiellaceae. The record is from Rfam by way of RNAcentral.
AGAGUUGGCUAGACAAUCGCUGGAUCGGCUUGCCGGUCUGGAGGAAAGUCCGGGCUCCAUAGGGUAAAGUGCCAGGUAACGCCUGGGGGGUGAAAGCCCACGGAAAGUGCAACAGAAAGUAAACCGCCUGACAUAUUUUUAUGUUCGGUAAGGGUGAAAGGGUGCGGUAAGAGCGCACCGCGUCGGUGGUAACAUCGUACGGCACGGCAAACCCCACUCGGAGCAAGACCAAAUAGGGAUCCAUGGGUGCGACCCGCACUGGAUCCGGGUAGGUUGCUUGAGGUAUGCGGUGACGCAUAUCCCAGAGGAAUGGUUGUCCACGACAGAACCCGGCUUAUCGGCUGACUCUCAAU